AAUGAACGCUGGCGGCGUGCCUAAUACAUGCAAGUCGGGCGACCAGACGAGAAGAUUGCUCUCCUGACGUUAGCGGCGGACGGGCGAGUAAGGCGUGCAUAACAUACUUAUAAGACUGGGAUAAUUUCGGGAAACAGGAGAUACUACUGGAUCAUAUAUCCAACCGCUUGGAUCAAUAGUGCAAGACGCCUUUGCCGUCUCAUUUAGCUGAUUCCGCGCCGCAUUAGCUAGUUGGUAAGGUAACGGCUUACCAAGGCAACGAUGCGUAGCCGAUCUGAGAGGAUGAUCAGCCACACUGGAACUGAGACACGGUCCAGACUCCUACGGGAGGCAGCAGUAGGGAAUCUUGCACAAUGGGCGAAAGCCUGACGGAGCAACGCCGCGUGGGUGAAGAAGGUCUUCGGGUUGUAAAGCUCUUUUAUUAGGGAAGAAAAGAAGUGGAAUUAACCAUGCACGUUCUGACGGUACCUAAUCAGUAAGCCACGGCUAACUUCGUG
RNAcentral lists this ribosomal RNA (497 nucleotides) under uncultured bacterium. Its description in RNAcentral is "partial 16S ribosomal RNA". It matches the Rfam family "Bacterial small subunit ribosomal RNA", at positions 29 to 507 of the family's 1533-position model. The record is from RNAcentral.